GUUCGAAACUUUCUACUGUAGAGUCGGUUCGGUUGGACGAACCGAAUGUACGGACUACACAAAGACUUAGGUCGGUCGAAGAGCUGAAUAGAUGAAGCACACAGCGACUGGUCGGCAGAAAGAGCCGAAUGCCUUUAUAUAUUAAAAUAAAAUUGAGAACUCAUACAAAACAAAGUGUGCUCGAAUGGCAUAUAGACUCUGAAAAUCUAGAUUAUAACAGAGUGUGCCCGUGGGGCAUACAGAUUCCAGAGAUUUAACUUAAAAACUACUCCUAGAAAAGCAAUAAAUGCGAACAAAAAAGAUUACAUAUAGACUACUCCUAAAAAGCGAUAAAUGUAAGAAAGGAAAGUAUUGAAAAUGCGAUAGUCUUCUCGUUAAGGGGAGAAAAAGACCUCUAUUACAGACUUCAAAGUUACUAUUUAUAAUAUCUUAUCAACCAACAUUAUUAGUUGGUUAUCGUAGUGGGGGAAUUGGUGUAGCCAUGAUCAUGAAAGUUACGCCCACUUCUUAUGGAAGUUACGCCCCACUUCACAUGGAAGUUAUACCCCACUUCUCAUGGAAGUUACGCCCCACUUCAUAUGGAAGUUACGUCCCACUUCUCAACCGUUCCCGCCUAAACGCUCUUAACCUUCAGGCGCCUUAUUGUCGACUCCUAGUGUA
This 660-nucleotide long non-coding RNA is filed under the name Ananas comosus (pineapple). RNAcentral's name for it is "long non-coding RNA (ACOM_LNC041661)". Lineage: Eukaryota; Viridiplantae; Streptophyta; Magnoliopsida; Poales; Bromeliaceae. The record is from RNAcentral.